This is a long non-coding RNA of Pygocentrus nattereri (red-bellied piranha), 534 nucleotides long. RefSeq lists it as uncharacterized. The record is from RefSeq and is a predicted model, not a curated record. Lineage: Eukaryota; Metazoa; Chordata; Actinopteri; Characiformes; Serrasalmidae. The transcript is spliced from 4 exons.
UAUAACUCGACUACACGUAAAAGGAGCAGUUCUGAAGUGGCUGAACCAGUAUUUCAGCAGCCUGAGCCAACACCUUAUGAUAGUGCUCAAGAACUUAAUGCACUGCAAGACCUUCUCAGGGACAUUCCUCCACAAGAGAAGGGCACUGUGCCACUAAGCUGGGCUGAACGGCAAGCUCAAAGCUCAGAGAAGUGGAAUGCUUCUAGAUCAGCCAUGGUUAAAAACAUAUUUCUCGCAGAGCACACAGACACCUAUAUCUGUGACAUCUGCCUGCAAAACACAUCUGUUGUGAGGUGCAGAGAUUGUUUGCCAAGACAGUUCCUGUGCAGUUCCUGCGAUACACAGAUACAUCAGCACAUCCUCCAUAACCGAGAAGCCAUGUUUGAGGGAUUCUAUCAACCCUUAGCCCCAAACAUGAUCAUUCAACUUCAAAAUGAUGGGUCACACCAGAUAAAGCAUGAAGUUCGACUGUUGCCGGUUCGUCUACCUCAACAGUGUACCUGUUCUCCCAGUCAGCUAAAGCUGACCUGUGGC